This 749-nucleotide ribosomal RNA is filed under the name uncultured rumen protozoa. Its description in RNAcentral is "bacterial SSU rRNA". It matches the Rfam family "Eukaryotic small subunit ribosomal RNA", at positions 288 to 1167 of the family's 1831-position model. The record is from RNAcentral.
UGCGAUCUCGCGCAUGCAAAUAGAUUAUUUCGAUGGUAGAUUGGACUACCUGGCUUUCCGGGUAACAGGGAAUUAGGGUUCGAUUCUGGAGAAGGAGCCUGAGAAACGGCUACUACAUCUACGGAAGGCAGCAGGCGCGUAAAUUACCCAAUCCUGACUCAGGGAGGUGGUGACAAGAUAUAAUGACGCUAUGAAAAAUAGUUGAUUAUAGUGAGGGUAUUCCAAACCGAACCACAAGUACGAUUAGAGGGCAAGUCUGGUGCCAGCAGCCGCGGAGAACCACAGCACUAAUAGCGUAUAUUAAAGUUGCUGCAGUUAAAAAGCUCGUAGUUGGAUUUCAAGGAACACGUAUUCCCCCGGAAUAUGUGCCCUACUAGCCCUUUCGGCUGUUAACUGUGAGAAAAUUAGAGUGUUUAAAGCAAGCUUUUGCAAGAAUACAUUAGCAUGGAAUAACGAAUGAGUCUAGAAUCUAGGUUAAUUCUAGAUCUCGAUUAAUAGAGACAGUUGGGGGCAUUAGUAUUUAAUUGUCAGAGGUGAAAUUCUUGGAUUUGUUAAAGACUAACGUAUGCGAAAGCAUUUGCCAGGGAUGUUUUCAUUAUCAGGACGAAGGAUAGGGGAUCAAGACAUCAGAUACUGUCGUAGUCUAUCUAUACUAUGCGACUAGGGAUGGAUGCAUCCAUCAGUACCUUAGGAAUCAGCUUGGUCUGGGGGGAUAGGUCCCGAACUGACUUAAAAUGCGGGAGGCACAC